This 534-nucleotide ribosomal RNA is filed under the name Triticum aestivum (bread wheat). RNAcentral describes it as "partial small subunit ribosomal RNA". Lineage: Eukaryota; Viridiplantae; Streptophyta; Magnoliopsida; Poales; Poaceae. The record is from RNAcentral.
AUGGAGAUGAAGCUGUCGCCCGGCACCGGCGAGGUGCUAGGCUGCAAGAACCGCCCGCCGAGCAGGCUCCAGAAGAAGGCGCCCGCGUCGCUGCAGCUUGAGCAGGCCGGCCCUGGCGCGGCCCAUCCUUCCCCCGCCGCGUGGGGCGACGGGAGGACGCCGAUACCGCUCCUGUCGCCGCUCGUCGCGUCCUCGGCGCCGGCGUGGGAGGCGGACCAGGGCGGGAGCAGGAGGGACGCUGCGCAGGCCGAGACCAGGAGCGGCGGGGAUGCUGACGGCAUCUUGAGCCCGAUCCGGCGCGGCGCUCACGGUGUCAGCAACGGGGCAGACGAGACGGCCACGACGCCGGCGCUCGCGCCCAGCGGCGGGUGGCGGCACCCGGCUAUGCCGACGCCGACGCCCGCUUCCAACGGGGGCGGGGGGUGGCGGCACCCGGCGAUGCCGUCGCCUGUCCCGGAGCCGGCGUCCCUGGCGCCGCUCUUCAAGUCGCAGUGCGCGGUGGAGCUGCACAGCCCGCAGGCGCAGGCACAAUAG